RNAcentral lists this ribosomal RNA (303 nucleotides) under Triticum aestivum (bread wheat). Its description in RNAcentral is "partial small subunit ribosomal RNA". Lineage: Eukaryota; Viridiplantae; Streptophyta; Magnoliopsida; Poales; Poaceae. The record is from RNAcentral.
AUGUCGACAUUCAGCGCUUCUGGAGAGUUCCAUACAGGAAAAGGGUACGACUCCUUGAUUGAUGUUGCAGCCAGCGUCAUCCACCCGUUCUACAAAGGCAUGACGAAGAACAUCAACACGCAGGAAGACCACAAAUUGUGGGUGAUCAGUCCGCUACCAGACAAGCUCAUCGAUUACGCACGAAAAGAUGCGUACGCCAUGUACAAGUCAUGGAACAUCAUUGACAACAUCACAAAUGGUAGGGAAAUUGCAAAAGCGCGGGAGGUUGACCACUACUACGACCUCCCCUUCCGCCCCUUUUAG